This 4593-nucleotide long non-coding RNA is filed under the name Manihot esculenta (cassava). Its description in RNAcentral is "long non-coding RNA (MESC_LNC001698)". The record is from RNAcentral. Lineage: Eukaryota; Viridiplantae; Streptophyta; Magnoliopsida; Malpighiales; Euphorbiaceae.
AAUUUCCUUGGGUUUUAUCCCAAGUGUUCUCAUGUAAGAAUAAUCUAAGCAAUUACGGACUUAAAUCAUCCAAACUAACAUAUUAUUACUUUGCAAUCAAGAAUCAACGUAGAUCUAAACAACAAAGCAAUAUUGAAAUCAAGCAUGAAAUUGCAUAAAUAUUGAACAACCAAAAGUUAAACAAUGUUUGAUCAAGUCUCCCAAUCCAUAAAACAACCAAAGUAUCACCUAAUCUUCAACUAGAAUAAAAGAUUUCAGCCUCUCAUGGCUGAAACAAAAUCAAAAAUAAAAGAAAAGAAGAAAGGUAGAAGAAGAGAUGUGAAUUUCGUAGGUGUCUCCCAAGGGGAGCUUAAGGGCCAUGUAGAGGCUUCCUAUGUGGCUUUUUAUAGUUGAAAAGUGUUGCCCUAGGUCAUACUUACUGCCCAAGAGGUAUUUUUUGCCCAAGAUGUUGCAGAAAAGGAAGGUGGCGCGCCGAUGGCUCUCAGAAGAGGAAAGCGCGCAGAUUGUUUCUGAAUAGGAAGGAUGCACGAAUUUUGAUCUUCAAAGGGGAAGAUAUGCUUGUCCAGACAUUCCUUUUUAGGUGGAGCCUCUUUUGAAAUUUGAAUAUUGAAUGCAGAAGAGGAAGAGCAUCUCUUUGAGAUCUUGCUGCCUAAAUAGGAAGAUAUGACUGCUGCAGUGUGUGCACAUCUUUGAACAAGGAAAGAAAGAUCUGCGAUUUGAAUUUCAAAUAAUCUUCUGACUGAGUUUUCCUUGUUUGCUUUUGCUUUUGCACUUUCCUCAUUUGAAAACUUUCCUUUUCUGAAAACUUUCCUUAUUUGGAAACUUUUCUUAUUUGGAAACUUUCCUUUUUUGGCACUUUCCAUAUUUAGCACUUUUUGGCAGUUUUAGGAGCAUUUUCUCCAGAUUGUCUCUUUACACCUAAUAUCUGCAAAACAAUAUUAAAAGCAGUAAAUUAUGCAGAAAUCAUAUAAAUAUUCAUUAAUAAUAUUAAUAUAAAAUGGACUAAAUUAUGCUCUAUCAAAUACCCCCACACUUAGCCUUUUGCUUGUCCUCAAGCAAAUAAACAUAGUCAAAUAAGCUUUCUCACUCUAGAUCCUUAUUUCCACUUAAGCUCUUACUCUAGACCCCUAUUUUGAAUCAUUGCAGUGAAGAAUAUAUGCAUGAAGAUUACUCACCUUCUUUCCUUGUUUCCCUUUACUUACCAUGGCUAGGAUUUGUUUUCCUCAAGAGAGACCAUACAUGUACAUUUUUGUUAAGACUUUUUCUAGCUUUUGGAUUGACUUGCCCUUACCUUGAAGUACUUUAUUCAGGCUUUUGCGCUUUAGAUCUCGCUUGGAAAGGUCACCAACCUAUUUUUGAUUUGAAGGUUUAUAUUUUUCAGUUGGUCACCUAUCCAAGUGGCUACUUGCCUUGUUCAUAGUCUUUUGACUAUUGGAACAAUUUUUAAUUUGUGCUUUUGAGGUCUUUGCCUUUGCUGAAUUUUCUUUCUCUCAAUGAUUUGGGCAAAUCAACACCAAUCGCUAAAUCAAGUCACAUUAAGUUUAUUCACACAAUUUUAAUUUAUUCUCAAUCAAUUGAGGGUCAUCAAUAUAUUUUUCACCAUGGCAAACUCAAAGAUUCAAUUCAAAAGGCAAUUCUCAAACAUGAAUAUAACUCACUGCAAUUGAUUCAACAUAAGUUUAAAGAGUCAUCACAUCAAUGGGGUCAUAGAAAGAAAAGAUCAUCCAACAUAGUCUAUACGAUGAGUAAAGCAUCUAAAAAAAACAGAAACAAAGUAAAUAAAAAAAAACUGUGGCUAUUUGUGUGUGUUAUUGAAAGCAAAAAUGAAAAAAUUUCAACUAAUGCAAGCAAACUAAAAAUCAAAGCAAAAAUAAAGCAAAAAUAAACUCAAAAAGUAAAAAUUCAGAAAUAUGCACCCCCACACCUAAGUCAUGCAUUGUCCUCAAUGUAUAGGAAACAUAAAAGAACAAAGGAAACUGAGUACUCCCCUGGGUGUGGUGUGCAUGGUGUGAUCCACUUGAUCAAGGCUCAAGUAAUUGGAGAAGAGAAGAGAGUCCCAACUGUAUUGAGCAAAAAGUGUAGCACUCUUUUUGAUUUGGUCAUAGCCCAUCCUACUUUUUCCAUGUACUCAUGAAGUAACAUGAUUAGCUUCUCCUCUUUCAAAUGAGGUGUGCCUCUAGCCCUUAUGUUUGCAUUUUUGAGCACUUCCAACUUCAAUUGAUAUUUCUCCAUGGAUGGCUGCAAUUUGGCAUUAAGUUCAGGCAAAACAAAUUCUACCUUAUCUGGAGGUUUGGGCAGGCAUUGAUCUGCAUGCUCCUUUGGUUUGGGCCAUUGGAGUACCAUUUGUUCCUCCUGGGCAUGGACUGUUUGCAUUGGAAGGAUGAACGGAGUUUCAGUUUCCUCCUUCUGCAUAGGACCUAACUGAGGUGGAAGACUGAUUUGUGUUGGAAGCUGAAAGGACGCGCCUGGGAGGAUUUCAGGUACUCCUUCUUGCGCAAGAUUGAUAUGCAAUGGAAGAAUGAAAGGAGUUUCAUGCGAUGGAAGCUGAAGAGGUGCAACUAGAAGAGUUGCAGGACUGUCCUGCGGUCCAAGUUGAGGUGGUUCAGUUGGAGUUCCUUCUGACUGCGCAAGAUUGAUCUGAAGAGGUGUGAUUGGCUCUCCUUUGUUCUGUGCGUGUUCGCAGUCCACCUGUUGGAUGUAACAAUUAGUUUCUUUCAGUUCUGGCUCUUUUUGGCUCUCUUCCCUGCAAGGAUCAUUGUUUAGUAUAUCAUCAUGAUUUGUAUAAAAAUUAUCUUUGCUCAAAUAAUCAAUGAUAUCUAAAUGAACAACAGGUUCUGUUUGAUCAGUUUGUUUGGGCAAACAAUUUUCUGGUUGUGUUUUUUCAGCAACUUGUACUUGCCAACUUUCAUCAUCAUCCCAUACAUCUUGAAGCUCUUCCUCUCUUCUUAACAUGGUUGCAUUCAUUGACGCAGUCAGCUGUCUUAUGUCCUGUCGUACGCUUUGCAUAGAUGUGGUCAUUUGGCCUAGGUCUUGUCGCACGCCUUGCAUGGUGUUCACCAUUGUUUCCAUCAUCUUUUCAAGGUGUUGGUAAGGAUUUCGAGGUUCUGGUUGGACUUGAUAUCCUUGAUAAUCCUGGUAGUUGUUAGCCUCAGCAUAGCCAUAGUUUGGUUGGUCUCCCCAAUAUGGACUGUAUGUGUCAUGGUAGGGAUCAUGUCUUGGUUGUUCAUAGAAUCUUCCAUAUGUAUGUACUUGUUGGUCAUACUCAUAACGUGUAGGACAUUGAUCAGUUGGGUGGCCUACAUAUGAAUAGAUCCCACAUGGUCUUGGUGGCUGAAAGCGUUGAGCUCGACCUAUGACAUAGCUAUCCACAAGAGAGGUUAGUUUUGAAAUUCGAGAAUCAAAAUCAGAUGUACUUACCUCAUCCAUGAUUUUGGAAUCUUAAGGAAGAAUGUCCUUGAGUGCAGAUUUGGCCAUGAAAGAAAAAUAAACAAGUUAAAUCAAUUCCCCGGCAACGGCGCCAAUUUUUGACUCGCGGUUGUCGAAACCGGUCAAAAAUAACCUUUCUGGUUAUCAACAAUUUACAACUGCAGAUAGUGGUGAAAGGAUCGAAUCCACAGGGAAUUGAAGACUUACCUAUUUUCCUUAUCAAGACCAAUAAAAUAAACUGAAAUAAAAAUAAACUGCAAAAGAAGAAAACUGAAAACGAGAUAAACUGAAACGAGAUAAAACUGAAAUAAGAUAAAACUGAAACGAGAUAAAACUGAAAACGAGAUAAAUUGAAACGAGAUAAAACUGAAAUGAGAUAAAACUGAAAGAGAAAUAAACGGAAAGCAAAAUAAACUAAAACGAGAUAAAACUGAAAGCGGAAUAAAAAUAAAUUGCAGUAAAAGUAAAAUGGGGGGUUUGAAAUUGAUUUGAUUAACAAACUACUGAAAGCAAUUAAAAUAAGCAAAUAACAAAAUAAAAGAGAAAUAAAUAAUGAGAAAGAUCUAGUUGAAGAGUUGGAUCCACUUUAGUUGUUGGGAUUGAUCAUUGACACUUAGUUUCCUUUGGGUUGAUUCAAUAGAUUAGUUAUGGAGAUGAAAGACACUUCUCACCACCAUUAUCUCUCCUUAUGAUUAAACCAAUUAGGGAACGUCCUCUAAUUAAUUACUAAUUAAUAAAUUGCCAAGGAACGUCCUUGGGCCUUAGGCAUCAAAACAAUUGUCAAUUGCAUUAAGAAAUAGAGAGAUCCAAUCCUAGCUACCCAAACGUAUGGAGAUAACGCUAGAUCAUACAAUUUCCUUGGGUUUUAUCCCAAGUGUUCUCAUGUAAGAAUAAUCUAAGCAAUUACGGACUUAAAUCAUCCAAACUAACAUAUUAUUACUUUGCAAUCAAGAAUCAACGUAGAUCUAAACAACAAAGCAAUAUUGAAAUCAAGCAUGAAAUUGCAUAAAUAUUGAACAACCAAAAGUUAAACAAUGUUUGAUCAAGUCUCCCAAUCCAUAAAACAACCAAAGUAUCACCUAAUCUUCAACUAGAAUAAAAGAUUUCAGCCUCUCAUGGUUGAAACAAAACCAAAAAUAAAAGAAAAGAAGAAAGGUAGAAGAAGAG